GACAGAGGGUGCAAACGUUGUUCGGAAUUACUGGGCGUAAAGCGAGUGUAGGCGGUUUGGAAAGUCGGAUGUGAAAGCCCCGGGCUCAACCCGGAAGUGCACUCGAUACUCCCAGCUAGAGUAUCGGAGAGGUUGGCGGAAUUCUCGGUGUAGAGGUGAAAUUCGUAGAUAUCGAGAGGAACACCGGCGGCGAAGGCGGCCAACUGGACGAAUACUGACGCUGAGACUCGAAAGCGUGGGGAGCAAACAGG
Molecule: ribosomal RNA, 251 nt
Filed under: uncultured bacterium
Lineage: Bacteria
Description: partial 16S ribosomal RNA
Rfam family: Bacterial small subunit ribosomal RNA
Source: RNAcentral